CAUUAUUCCUCAUUCCCCACCCAAGUCUUGGGUUUCUGCUGAGGGUGGGGUGGGGGGGCCUUUCCCUGCCACUUCCUCCACUACCUUCCGGCCUCUGCCCUUCAGCCCUCACCCCAUUUUUUUUGUUGUUGUUGAUGAAAUGCCCCUAGCUAGGGGCUAUGUUUUCUGCUCCUCUGAGCAACAUAAAAGAUAAGGCUUCCACUGAAGAUCUAGGAUAUGCCACUGAUCUGCCCCAACCACCCCCGCCCUCAGGACAUCGACAAGCAGUACGUUGGCUUCGCUACACUGCCCAACCAGGUGCACCGCAAGUCAGUCAAGAAGGGUUUCGACUUCACACUCAUGGUAGCCGGUGAGUCCGGCCUGGGGAAGUCUACCCUUGUCCACAGUCUCUUCCUGACUGACCUGUACAAGG
Molecule: long non-coding RNA, 412 nt
Filed under: Rattus norvegicus (Norway rat)
Lineage: Eukaryota; Metazoa; Chordata; Mammalia; Rodentia; Muridae
Description: long non-coding RNA NONRATT006737
Source: RNAcentral